AUCAGCUUGUUGGUGAGGUAACGGCUCACCAAGGCUUCGACGGGUAGCUGGUCUGAGAGGACGAUCAGCCACACUGGCACUGCGACACGGGCCAGACUCCUACGGGAGGCAGCAGUAAGGAAUAUUGCGCAAUGGGCGAAAGCCUGACGCAGCGACGCCGCGUGGGGGAUGAAGGUCUUCGGAUUGUAAACGGCUAACUUCGUGCCAGCAGCCGCGGUAAUACGAAGGUGGCAAGCGUUAUUCGGAUUUACUGGGCGUACAGGGAGCGUAGGCGGUUCGGUAAGCCCUCUGUGUAAUCUUCAGGCUUAACCUGGAAAAGACGGAGGGGACUGCUGGGCUAGAGGACGGGAGUGGAGCGCGGAAUUCCCGGUGUAGCGGUGAAAUGCGUAGAGAUCGGGAGGAAGGCCGGUGGCGAAGGCGGCGCUCUGGAACGUUUCUGACGCUGAGGCUCGAAAGCGUCGGGAGCAAACAGGAUUAGAUACCCUGGUAGUCCACGCCUUAAACUAUGAAUACUAAGUGUCGGCGGGUUACCGCCGGUGCCGCAGCUAACGCAUUAAGUAUUCCGCCUGGGAAG
This 574-nucleotide ribosomal RNA is filed under the name uncultured bacterium. RNAcentral describes it as "bacterial SSU rRNA". It matches the Rfam family "Bacterial small subunit ribosomal RNA", at positions 240 to 880 of the family's 1533-position model. The record is from RNAcentral.